This 85-nucleotide transfer RNA is filed under the name Flavobacteriales bacterium. RNAcentral's name for it is "tRNA-Leu". It matches the Rfam family "tRNA". Rfam says of the family: Transfer RNA (tRNA) molecules are approximately 80 nucleotides in length. Their secondary structure includes four short double-helical elements and three loops (D, anti-codon, and T loops). The record is from RNAcentral. Lineage: Bacteria; Pseudomonadati; Bacteroidota; Flavobacteriia; Flavobacteriales.
GCCCGGAUGGUGGAAUUGGUAGACACGCAGGACUUAAAAUCCUGUGACAAUUGCGGUCGUGCGGGUUCAAGUCCCGCCCCGGGUA